AACGAACGCUGGCGGCAGGCCUAACACAUGCAAGUCGAACGAGAUCUUCGGAUCUAGUGGCGGACGGGUGAGUAACGCGUGGGAACGUGCCCUUCUCUACGGAAUAGUCCUGGGAAACUGGGUUUAAUACCGUAUACGCCUCGGGAAGAAUUCGGGAAGGAUCGCCGCGUGAUAGUAGUGUGGGUAUGCUACCAAGCCGACGAUCCAUAGCUGGUUUGAGAGGAUGAUCAGCCACACUGGGACUGAGACACGGCCCAGACUCCUACGGGAGGCAGCAGUGGGGAAUCUUAGACAAUGGGGGCAACCCUGAUCUAGCCAUGCCGCGUGAGUGACGAAGGCCCUAGGGUCGUAAAGCUCUUUCGCCAGGGAUGAUAAUGACAGUACCUGGUAAAGAA
This 395-nucleotide ribosomal RNA is filed under the name uncultured bacterium. RNAcentral describes it as "bacterial SSU rRNA". It matches the Rfam family "Bacterial small subunit ribosomal RNA", at positions 29 to 489 of the family's 1533-position model. The record is from RNAcentral.